ACGAACGCUGGCGGCGUGCCUAAUACAUGCAAGUAGAACGCUGAAGAGAGGAGCUUGCUCUUCUUGGAUGAGUUGCGACCGGGUGAGUAACGCGUAGGUAACCUGCCUUGUAGCGGGGGAUAACUAUUGGAAACGAUAGCUAAUACCGCAUAACAAUAGGUGACACAUGUCAUUUAUUUGAAAGGGGCAAUUGCUCCACUACAAGAUGGACCUGCGUUGUAUUAGCUAGUAGGUGAGGUAACGGCUCACCUAGGCGACGAUACAUAGCCGACCUGAGAGGGUGAUCGGCCACACUGGGACUGAGACACGGCCCAGACUCCUACGGGAGGCAGCAGUAGGGAAUCUUCGGCAAUGGGGGCAACCCUGACCGAGCAACGCCGCGUGAGUGAAGAAGGUUUUCGGAUCGUAAAGCUCUGUUGUAAGUCAAGAACGAGUGUGAGAGUGGAAAGUUCACACUGUGACGGUAGCUUACCAGAAAGGGACGGCUAACUACGUG
This 496-nucleotide ribosomal RNA is filed under the name uncultured bacterium. RNAcentral's name for it is "partial 16S ribosomal RNA". It matches the Rfam family "Bacterial small subunit ribosomal RNA", at positions 29 to 507 of the family's 1533-position model. The record is from RNAcentral.